UUAAAGUCAUUACAUGAUUUUGACUCUGUUGUGACCGAGGAAGUGCUCGGCCACGUCUGGGAGCGCUACAGCAUCCCGAGCGACUAUAAGCUUUAUGCGCCUCAGCCAGGGCAGCGUGCUUAUGAUCCGUUCCCGAAUGGGUUCGGCUUGACGCUGGAUGCUUUAGAGGUGGGACUUUGGUUCCCCCUACAUCCUGUGAUCGAGGCCUGCCUUGCUCGAUGGUGGAUCUCGCCAUUGCAGAUGGCACCGAACUCGUGGCACUAUCUUGUAGCUUUCCUAGGGGAGUGUCGAGGGGCGGGGGUUAUCCCGACCCGCUCACUCUUCUUCUCGUGCUUCCGCCUUUCCAAAGGGCUAGGCGACUACUGGCUGUCAUCCGGAGGAGGUUUUCGGGUGAGUGGGGCUCCUUCCAACAAUAAGAGGUGGAAGAGUCGAUAUUUUUUUAUCAGCUAUAGUCGAGGCUGGGGCUUCGACCUUCGAUGGUCAUCUCGAUCGAUCGAUAAUUCUCUUCUGGGCUUAUCUAAUGAUGAGCAUGAGCAGCUCGGUCGCUUGAAGGAGGUCCUUUCUUCUUCCCGGACAAUUAGGGACAUAAUCGAGGAGUGACUGAUCGAAACGGGGCUUACUCUGACUCCUCGGGGUUUGGUGAAUUUGAAGGAGUUGAGAGGGAUGCCUCGUGCUUCCUCAGCCCCUCGGGCUUCGGAGCCGGAACUGCCGGCCUCGGGGGGUCAGGAGUGACCUUCCGGGUUGGGGCCUGAACAGCCAUGCAAGAAGUCUAAGGUCUUGACCCGCAAGAGACCUGCGCCGACCGCAACGCAGGAGGCAUCUGGCGAGGCCGGGAAGCGUCUUCGCGAGGCUUCUUCGAGCAGAGCGGCCGGAGGGAGUGCUUGGGGCAAAGCCCGUGCCGAUCCUAGGGGGGGGGGAAUCGACGAGAUCUGCGUGGACUUGAGAUCUCUGUGGCACUCGGGCACGGGCCAACGUCGAGCCCUUCCAAUCGCUCUUCAUGGGGGACUUGUCUGACGGGGAGGGAACUGCUCCCCUUGAGCCGUGCUGGUCGGGGCUGACGCUCGACGAUCGGAUUUGGGCGGGCGAUGCUUCCUAUGGUGCUUAUCUCUGAGGUGCCCUUAUCCCGGCAAUCGCAAAGCAUGUGUAUAACUCGCCUUCCGAGGUGCUGAUUGAUAAGUCAGCCAAGUCCUUGGUAUAGGAAAACACAAUCACCUCACAAAGACGAGCUGCCAACUAUCUGAGAAUCGCCAUCUAGUGCACGAAGGAGAGCAGCCAAUCGGUUCGGAUCCUGACCAACACCAACCCGCACUCCUUCCCGAGGGUAUGGCUACCUCACGAAGACGAGCUGCCAACCACCCCGGAGAAGGAGAGACGCAGCUCGGCAUACACGGUGCCCGGAUCGACACACCAAAGAACGCUGAUCAACACCCCAUCGUGAGGGCCCGAUCAACCUCGGCAUCCAGCUCAGCCGAUAGAAGAUUUCCGACAUCGAUCUAUGGACCAACCCGUGCUGACUCACCAGCCACGACACAUUUGUUCACUAACACAUAGCCAACAUUAUCACACCACGUUGCUUGACCAGGUGUAGGGCGCAGGUCAGGUGAUUAGCAAUAUGGGUGACAAGAUUGCUGAGCUCCGUGGUCCGAUUGAGGAGCUGAAGAAAGGGAUUGCCCCGAAGGCUAUUGUUGCGGCUAAGGUCGCAGCUUGAGGAUGUCGAAUGACAACACGACGAAGUCAAGGGCAAGCUUGAGUAACAUCUUCCGGAGGCUCAACGUUUGUUGAAGAAGUCGCACAGGCAGGUUUGCUCUAUGGAGGGUGAGCUAUUGGACCUAGCAUGGACCUUGGGGGAGGCUCGAGCAGAGGCGGCGAAAGUCAGGGGGUCUCUCGCCAAGGAGACCCGAGCAACUCUAGAGAAGCAUAAGAAACUAAUAGAAUAAUAUAAAGAAUCGCAUGGCUUUCUACUCGGGCUGUAGCGGUUAGGAUAGGUCAGCUAUGAGUACGGGUAACAUGUUGCCCUAGCUCGGUUUCGAGCUUAAUUUCUUGACGUGAGGGUUGAGGAAGACCCUUUCGUCAUCCUCCCUACAAAUGACAAUGUAGAGAUGCCGGAUGAGGUCCCCUUUGAUAAUAGUGUAGGUCUCCCCGAGGAUUAAGGAUCUUCUCGGGGUGUAUUUUUGUUUUGUUAAUCGGUUUGUCAAGUGCUCGGGUAUCUGUGUUCCGAGGUCGGCCUCGAGUUUUCUGAACCCCCCUCGUGCGGCAAAUUAGCGCCUUCUACUUGGGGUUGCUGAGCGGCUGAGGAUGGUGCUUAUGGUUCGGGAGCGAGGGUCGGUGGGUCCCGCGACUAAAGCGGUGGUUGGAACAGCGCUGGUUGCUGCAUGAACUAGGGAAUGAGGUGAAUGAUAGCCUGCAUCAUCCUUGCUAAGGUUUAGACUUGGUGCGUGAGGUUGUGGAAGGCCUUGGGCGAGAUAGGAGGUCGUCCCAUGGCGGUUCCGGGAGGUGUCAGCCUGGGAUCGCUGAACAGCCGCUAGCAGCGGCUCGGAGUUCCAGUAGUGGCAUUCCCUUCCAGGCUCGGAGGGGGUGGAAAUUGUCCCCAUAUUCUGAAGGUCGAGUAAGGCGGGGGUGGCUCUUCUUCGGAACGUUCUCCAAGGUGACUCUAUUGGGGGCGUCCUUGCGACAUCGAGCCCUCCUUCUAGCGUCAAAAUGUUAGUGAACUUUACACCAUGGCCAGGGAGUCAGCACGGCUUGGUUCGACUCCAAAUGUCCAAGGAGGCACCCACGAAGACUUUGGGCUGGUCGUUGGGUCGGGUUGAGCGGAGUAGGUCAUCGUUUGCUUCCUUGUCGUCGGGCCCUACACACAGGUCGAAGUCGGGGGGAUGUUUCCUGACUCGAUCGCUCUGAAGGUUAAGUUAGUGGAGUUCUCACUCAGAGUCCUCUCCCAAGUUGUUCAGGAAAAAAACCUCUCUUGGCAUAGCCAGGUAGUUGGCUUUUAUACCUGCAUAUGAGAGUUGAUUGUAUAGGGUUUGUUUAAUGACUACCGACCCCUGCAGGCCGCUAGCUCAUACCUUCUGUGCGGUCGAUGUCUACAUCGAGGCGGUUUUGUACUUGACGGCAUCGUCCCAAGUUCCCGGGAUGGGCUUUGUACUUGACGAUGUUGUCCUGAGUUUUCGGGGUCAGCUUUUGUACUUGACAGCA
This is a long non-coding RNA of Musa acuminata AAA Group (dessert banana), 3189 nucleotides long. RefSeq lists it as uncharacterized. The transcript is spliced from 3 exons. The record is from RefSeq and is a predicted model, not a curated record. NCBI's taxonomy places the organism in Eukaryota, Viridiplantae, Streptophyta, Magnoliopsida, Zingiberales, Musaceae.